GACGAACGCUGGCGGCGUGCUUAACACAUGCAAGUCGAACGGUAAGGCCCUUCGGGGUACACGAGUGGCGAACGGGUGAGUAACACGUGGGUGAUCUGCCCUGCACUUCGGGAUAAGCCUGGGAAACUGGGUCUAAUACCGGAUAGGACCACUGCCUGCAUGGGUGGUGGUGGAAAGCUUUUGCGGUGUGGGAUGGGCCCGCGGCCUAUCAGCUUGUUGGUGGGGUGAUGGCCUACCAAGGCGACGACGGGUAGCCGGCCUGAGAGGGUGACCGGCCACACUGGGACUGAGAUACGGCCCAGACGCCUACGGGAGGCAGCAGUGGGGAAUAUUGCACAAUGGCGCAAGCCUGAUGCAGCGACGCCGCGUGAGGGAUGACGGCCUUCGGGUUGUAAACCUCUUUCAGCACCGACGAAGCGCAAGUGACGGUAGGUGCAGAAGAAGGACCGGCCAACUACGUGCCAGCCGCCGCUGUAA
Molecule: ribosomal RNA, 477 nt
Filed under: uncultured bacterium
Lineage: Bacteria
Description: partial 16S ribosomal RNA
Rfam family: Bacterial small subunit ribosomal RNA
Source: RNAcentral